GACGAACGCUGGCGGCGUGCCUAAUACAUGCAAGUCGAGCGAGCUUGCCUAGAUGAUUUUAGUGCUUGCACUAAAUGAAACUAGAUACAAGCGAGCGGCGGACAGGUGAGUAACACGUGGGUAACCUGCCCAAGAGACUGGGAUAACACCUGGAAACAGAUGCUAAUACCGGAUAACAACACUAGACGCAUGUCUAGAGUUUGAAAGAUGGUUCUGCUAUCACUCUUGGAUGGACCUGCGGUGCAUUAGCUAGUUGGUAAGGUAAUGGCUUACCAAGGCGAUGAUGCAUAGCCGAGUUGAGAGACUGAUCGGCCACAUUGGGACUGAGACACGGCCCAAACUCCUACGGGAGGCAGCAGUAGGGAAUCUUCCACAAUGGACGAAAGUCUGAUGGAGCAACGCCGCGUGAGUGAAGAAGGGUUUCGGCUCGUAAAGCUCUGUUGGUAGUGAAGAAAGAUAGAGGUAGUAACUGGCCUUUAUUUGACGGUAAUUACUUAGAAAGUCACGGCUAACUACGUGCCAGCAGCCGCGGUAAUACGUAGGUGGCAAGCGUUGUCCGGAUUUAUUGGGCGUAAAGCGAGUGCAGGCGGUUCAAUAAGUCUGAUGUGAAAGCCUUCGGCUCAACCGGAGAAUUGCAUCAGAAACUGUUGAACUUGAGUGCAGAAGAGGAGAGUGGAACUCCAUGUGUAGCGGUGGAAUGCGUAGAUAUAUGGAAGAACACCAGUGGCGAAGGCGGCUCUCUGGUCUGCAACUGACGCUGAGGCUC
This 766-nucleotide ribosomal RNA is filed under the name uncultured Bacilli bacterium. Its description in RNAcentral is "bacterial SSU rRNA". It matches the Rfam family "Bacterial small subunit ribosomal RNA", at positions 28 to 754 of the family's 1533-position model. Lineage: Bacteria; Bacillati; Bacillota; Bacilli. The record is from RNAcentral.